Non-coding RNA from Streptomyces cellostaticus, 75 nucleotides. It matches the Rfam family "ASpks TB sRNA". Lineage: Bacteria; Bacillati; Actinomycetota; Actinomycetes; Kitasatosporales; Streptomycetaceae. The record is from Rfam.
CUUCACCGACCCCAGCAACAGCGGCCGGCCCUCCGGACGAUCCUGACCAUAGGUCGCCAGCAGCGCCUGCGCCUC